CUCAGAUUGAACGCUGGCGGCAGGCUUAACACAUGCAAGUCGAGCGGUAACAGGGGGAGCUUGCUCCCCGCUGACGAGCGGCGGACGGGUGAGUAAUGCAUAGGAAACUGCCCAGUAGUGGGGGAUAGCCCGGGGAAACCCGGAUUAAUACCGCAUACGCCCUUUGGGGGAAAGCAGGGGAUCUUCGGACCUUGCGCUAUUGGAUGUGCCUAUGUCGGAUUAGCUAGUUGGUGGGGUAAGAGCCUACCAAGGCGACGAUCCGUAGCUGGUCUGAGAGGAUGAUCAGCCACAUCGGGACUGAGACACGGCCCGAACUCCUACGGGAGGCAGCAGUGGGGAAUAUUGGACAAUGGGGGCAACCCUGAUCCAGCCAUGCCGCGUGUGUGAAGAAGGCUUUCGGGUUGUAAAGCACUUUCAGUGAGGAGGAAAACCUUACGACUAAUACUCGUGAGGCUUGACGUUACUCACAGAAGAAGCACCGGCUAACUCCGUGCCAGCAGCCGCGGUAAUACGGAGGGUGCAAGCGUUAAUCGGAAUUACUGGGCGUAAAGCGCGCGUAGGUGGUUUGAUAAGCGAGAUGUGAAAGCCCCGGGCUCAACCUGGGAACGGCAUUUCGAACUGUCAGGCUAGAGUAUGGUAGAGGAGUGUGGAAUUUCCUGUGUAGCGGUGAAAUGCGUAGAUAUAGGAAGGAACACCAGUGGCGAAGCGGCA
This 711-nucleotide ribosomal RNA is filed under the name gamma proteobacterium GWS-SE-H173. Its description in RNAcentral is "bacterial SSU rRNA". It matches the Rfam family "Bacterial small subunit ribosomal RNA", at positions 23 to 726 of the family's 1533-position model. The record is from RNAcentral. Lineage: Bacteria; Pseudomonadati; Pseudomonadota; Gammaproteobacteria.